Cephus cinctus (wheat stem sawfly) is the source of this 1061-nucleotide long non-coding RNA. RefSeq lists it as uncharacterized. The transcript has 3 exons. The record is from RefSeq and is a predicted model, not a curated record. Lineage: Eukaryota; Metazoa; Arthropoda; Insecta; Hymenoptera; Cephidae.
AAUAAUGUAAGAAAAACAUCAUAAGGGGUCAUCCACACUAUAAUGAUUAUUUAAUAUUACAUCUUGACAAUAUGAUUUUUUACAAUAAACUUGCUGUAGAUAAUUAAUCAUUGAAUGCUGCACAACAAGAUCUAACCUCAUGGGUAGUCAAUAACAAGGAAAGGAAGUUAUAUAUUUUGGUUAUCAAUCACCCCUAUGUGUUAACGGAGGUGAAUUGAAUAAAUAAUUUGUAGACAGACACAUCCUAAGAAAGGCACAGUUUAUAGAUACCUGCCAUCAUUCUAGAGAUCUGGACAUGGUAGUUUAAUCAAUAUUUCAUUAUAUAAUCAGAUUCUUUCCAUCCAUUGGUUUUGAAUGAAUAUCUAUUUUGGCUGUGCUAAAGAUAGGAUCUGGAUGGUCCUCUAGCUAAUUUAAAACAUUGGCAAGACUCAUGAAAGAUUUUUCAAGCAGCCACUAAUGUUAUUUUUCCCUUCAUACGCUGUUGCAAAUUACAAAUGUUCAUCGUCUAUAUAUAUCCGAUAGGGUAACAGUCCUUUGCUAUUCAGCAAGUCCAGAGAUAAUUAUGCAGAAAUUAAUAUGACAAUUAUACUCCAUAUAUUCUGGAUGUAAUUUAUUUUAUUUUAUUUUUUUAUUAGGGAUAUUUAUAAUAUUUCAGAUUGCAAAGUAUACCAAUAUAUGACUUUAGCCCCUGGAGAAGUGUUCAAGAAUAUCUCUUUUACGAUUUUCAUUUUGGCUACAUUUCAAGAAUGGAAUUUCAGUGGAUGCUUUAAUUUUUAUAUUUAAUGUCCUUCUUAAAUAAAAACGACCGUCAAAUAUGUUGGAAUCAUCGAGACGCAUAUUGGUCGUGUCUCGAUAAGGGAAAAUCUGAAUCUGAAUGUGAAAUGCUUAGGAAGUUAUAUGAAGCGUAUUGCCCAUCGCAAUGGAGAACUCCUCGUUCUAUCUUACAGGUGAAGCAUUUUGACCGGAAACGAGAGUACCUGAAAUUCAAGGAGCAAAUCGAGAACAACGGGUACGUUCCAGAAAAUCCGAAGACCAAUGCACAGUAGCAGUAAUUCACUAAU